CAGCAGCCGCGGGAAUACAGAGGGUGCGAGCGUUAAUCGGAUUUACUGGGCGUAAAGCGUGCGUAGGCGGCUUUUUAAGUCGGAUGUGAAAUCCCUGAGCUUAACUUAGGAAUUGCAUUCGAUACUGGGAAGCUAGAGUAUGGGAGAGGAUGGUAGAAUUCCAGGUGUAGCGGUGAAAUGCGUAGAGAUCUGGAGGAAUACCGAUGGCGAAGGCAGCCAUCUGGCCUAAUACUGACGCUGAGGUACGAAAGCAUGGGGAGCAAACAGGAUUAGAUACCCCCGUAGUCCUGUCUCUUAUACA
This 301-nucleotide ribosomal RNA is filed under the name uncultured bacterium. RNAcentral describes it as "partial 16S ribosomal RNA". It matches the Rfam family "Bacterial small subunit ribosomal RNA", at positions 509 to 809 of the family's 1533-position model. The record is from RNAcentral.